RNAcentral lists this ribosomal RNA (834 nucleotides) under uncultured organism. RNAcentral describes it as "SSU rRNA". It matches the Rfam family "Bacterial small subunit ribosomal RNA", at positions 28 to 873 of the family's 1533-position model. The record is from RNAcentral.
GAUGAACGCUGGCGGCGUGCCUAACACAUGCAAGUCGAACGUUCUUUUCAUGAAGCCUAGCGAUUGAAAAGUUAGUGGCGGACGGGUGAGUAACGCGUGGGUAACCUGCCUUGUACUGGGGGACAACAGUUGGAAACGACUGCUAAUACCGCAUAAGCGCACAGCUUCGCAUGAAGCAGUGUGAAAAACUCCGGUGGUACAAGAUGGACCCGCGUCUGAUUAGCUGGUUGGUGAGGUAACGGCCCACCAAGGCGACGAUCAGUAGCCGGCCUGAGAGGGUGAACGGCCACAUUGGGACUGAGACACGGCCCAAACUCCUACGGGAGGCAGCAGUGGGGAAUAUUGCACAAUGGGGGAAACCCUGAUGCAGCAACGCCGCGUGAGUGAAGAAGUAUUUCGGUAUGUAAAGCUCUAUCAGCAGGAAAGAAAAUGACGGUACCUGACUAAGAAGCCCCGGCUAACUACGUGCCAGCAGCCGCGGUAAUACGUAGGGGGCAAGCGUUAUCCGGAUUUACUGGGUGUAAAGGGAGCGCAGACGGUUUUGCAAGUCUGAAGUGAAAGCCCGGGGCUUAACCCCGGGACUGCUUUGGAAACUGUAGAACUAGAGUGCAGGAGAGGUAAGUGGAAUUCCUAGUGUAGCGGUGAAAUGCGUAGAUAUUAGGAGGAACACCAGUGGCGAAGGCGGCUUACUGGACUGUAACUGACGUUGAGGCUCGAAAGCGUGGGGAGCAAACAGGAUUAGAUACCCUGGUAGUCCACGCCGUAAACGAUGAUUACUAGGUGUUGGUGGGUACGACCCAUCGGUGCCGCAGCAAACGCAAUAAAGUAUCCACC